RNAcentral lists this ribosomal RNA (460 nucleotides) under uncultured bacterium. RNAcentral describes it as "partial 16S ribosomal RNA". It matches the Rfam family "Bacterial small subunit ribosomal RNA", at positions 338 to 795 of the family's 1533-position model. The record is from RNAcentral.
CCUACGGGAGGCAGCAGUGAGGAAUAUUGGUCAAUGGACGCAAGUCUGAACCAGCCAUGCCGCGUGCAGGAAGACGGCUCUAUGAGUUGUAAACUGCUUUUGUACGAGGGUAAACGCAGAUACGCGUAUCUGUCUGAAAGUAUCGUACGAAUAAGGAUCGGCUAACUCCGAGCCAGCAGCCGCGGUAAUACGGAGGAUUCAAGCGUUAUCCGGAUUUAGUGGGUUUAAAGGGUGCGUAGGCGGUCGGAUAAGUUAGAGGUGAAAUCCCGAGGCUCAACUUCGGAAUUGCCUUUGAUACUGUUCGGCUAGAGAGUAGUUGCGGUAGGCGGAAUGUAUGGUGUAGCGGUGAAAUGCUUAGAGAUCAUACAGAACACCGAUUGCGAAGGCAGCUUACCAAGCUACUUCUGACGUUGAGGCACGAAAGCGUGGGGAGCAAACAGGAUUAGAUACCCCGGUAGUC